AGCGAACGCUGGCGGCAGGCUUAACACAUGCAAGUCGAGCGGGCACUUCGGUGUCAGCGGCAGACGGGUGAGUAACACGUGGGAACGUACCCUUUGGUUCGGAAUAACGCUGGGAAACUAGCGCUAAUACCGGAUACGCCCUUUUGGGGAAAGGCUUGCUGCCGAAGGAUCGGCCCGCGUCUGAUUAGCUAGUUGGUGGGGUAAUGGCCUACCAAGGCGACGAUCAGUAGCUGGUCUGAGAGGAUGAUCAGCCACACUGGGACUGAGACACGGCCCAGACUCCUACGGGAGGCAGCAGUAGGGAAUAUUGUGCAAUGGGCGCAGACCUGAUCAAGCCAUGCCGGGUAAGUGAUGAAGGCCUUAGGGUUGUAAAGCUCUUUUGUCCGGGACGAUAAUGACGGUACCGGAAGAAUAAGCCCCGGCUAACUUCGUG
RNAcentral lists this ribosomal RNA (433 nucleotides) under uncultured bacterium. Its description in RNAcentral is "partial 16S ribosomal RNA". It matches the Rfam family "Bacterial small subunit ribosomal RNA", at positions 29 to 507 of the family's 1533-position model. The record is from RNAcentral.